Molecule: ribosomal RNA, 896 nt
Filed under: uncultured Bacillus sp.
Lineage: Bacteria; Bacillati; Bacillota; Bacilli; Caryophanales; Bacillaceae
Description: bacterial SSU rRNA
Rfam family: Bacterial small subunit ribosomal RNA
Source: RNAcentral
UGCAGUCGAGCGGACAGAAGGGAGCUUGCUCCCGGAUGUUAGCGGCGGACGGGUGAGUAACACGUGGGUAACCUGCCUGUAAGACUGGGAUAACUCCGGGAAACCGGAGCUAAUACCGGAUAGUUCCUUGAACCGCAUGGUUCAAGGAUGAAAGACGGUUUCGGCUGUCACUUACAGAUGGACCCGCGGCGCAUUAGCUAGUUGGUGGGGUAAUGGCUCACCAAGGCGACGAUGCGUAGCCGACCUGAGAGGGUGAUCGGCCACACUGGGACUGAGACACGGCCCAGACUCCUACGGGAGGCAGCAGUAGGGAAUCUUCCGCAAUGGACGAAAGUCUGACGGAGCAACGCCGCGUGAGUGAUGAAGGUUUUCGGAUCGUAAAGCUCUGUUGUUAGGGAAGAACAAGUGCGAGAGUAACUGCUCGCACCUUGACGGUACCUAACCAGAAAGCCACGGCUAACUACGUGCCAGCAGCCGCGGUAAUACGUAGGUGGCAAGCGUUGUCCGGAAUUAUUGGGCGUAAAGGGCUCGCAGGCGGUUUCUUAAGUCUGAUGUGAAAGCCCCCGGCUCAACCGGGGAGGGUCAUUGGAAACUGGGAAACUUGAGUGCAGAAGAGGAGAGUGGAAUUCCACGUGUAGCGGUGAAAUGCGUAGAGAUGUGGAGGAACACCAGUGGCGAAGGCGACUCUCUGGUCUGUAACUGACGCUGAGGAGCGAAAGCGUGGGGAGCGAACAGGAUUAGAUACCCUGGUAGUCCACGCCGUAAACGAUGAGUGCUAAGUGUUAGGGGUUUCCGCCCCUUAGUGCUGCAGCUAACGCAUUAAGCACUCCGCCUGGGGAGUACGGUCGCAAGACUGAAACUCAAAGGAAUUGACGGGGCCCGCACAAGCGGUGGAG